Molecule: RNA transcript, 5080 nt
Organism: Odontomachus brunneus
Lineage: Eukaryota; Metazoa; Arthropoda; Insecta; Hymenoptera; Formicidae
Exons: 3
Source: RefSeq, a predicted model, not a curated record
UAUAAAUAACUAUGUAUGUUUUAAGUUGUAAUUUAAGAAGAUUGGCGAACGAUCGAGCUUGAUGAUCUUUUUGAUGAACAUGAUUAUAUGACUCAAUUUUCUUUAAUUAAUUUCUAUAAUUUAAAAAUCUACAUGGUUAUUGAGAAAGUGAUAAAGAGCCGUUUUGUUUAGUUUUACCUAAAGUACAAAAACACAACGCAAAUCGUACUUAUCGUCAUUCUAUAUUGUAUUCCACGCAAUCGCCAAUUUUCUUUAAUUAAAAAUUCAGAAUGUUACGUUAUUUAUUUUAAAAUUGUAGGUGAAUUUUUUUUCAAUUUGACCCAAUCUAUACGUAUACGAGAAUUUUAUAUGUGAUUAUCAAAUACUCUGUAUACAAACAUGACCUAUAUGAGAGAAAUAUCUGAGAGAGCUUCAACAGCAGACUGAUAUGAAAAGAACAGACUGAUGAAAAGUUAACAAACGAAUAUUUCCGAUUAAUUUUUAUAUCCCAUGAAAUUUGAUAGGUACGUACCUGGCUCGUUUAUUUCAUCGGAUUAUUUUCAUCGAAUAUCCUUCUUUUUGGUCAAGUAUAAUCUCUUAUCGUCUGGUCGAAUAUUAGAAACGCUAUAUUUUUUUAUUAGAUUAAGCGCAAUGUUCGACUAAGUCAUGUUUUAUCGGAUAACACUUGAUCGGAUUUGCAAAUUUGCAGCAAAAAUCAAACAAAAUCUGUAGAAAUUUGAUGUCACAUUGCUAGCAGAAACUGAGCAGGCUCUACUAUUGCAGAAUCUACGCGUUUUUUGCUGCCAAUCUGCACGUAGUUGUCUACCAGUAGACUUUGCUACCAAAACACGAACUGAAUGUGGAUACAGAUGGUUAUGGUUUAAUUUUGAUGUGGAAUUCUGAUUCAAAUUUGCUGCCAAUCUGCGCGCAGUUUGCGAUUAAUUUGCUUACUCCCAAUGGGAGAAUUUGUUUUAAAUAGAAAAAUCCUUUCAUUGAACAAGACAGAAAGUUCACAGAUUCAUUCUAAAAAUUAUGGACAAUCUUACUGAAUAUUAACUAUUAUAGUGUAACUAUUAUAGUUCCAGUUUCUUUAAAUAAUCAAUAAAUAAUAAGUUAAUACACAUACACAUACACAUUAUUAAUGUGUAUAUAGAAAAUUGUAAUAUCCUAGUUAUACAUUACCUGAUAAUAUAAAAUAAAUUUGAUUUCUUAAACAAUUGCUACGAUAUAUUAGUAAUUGAAAUAAAUAUAAUCUUUAGUGUCUUUAUCGGCCACCAAAUGAGUGAAUGCUAUGUCUUAAAAAAAGUGCUAUUUUAAAAAAAGUGCUAUGUUAAAAAAAGUGCUAUUUGAACAGUUUAUUUAUUUUUAUAAUAACUACGAAUAUAAUAUAAGAGAUUUAUUUGUUAACACUUCUGACAGUUAUUUAUGCAAAUAUUGCGUUUAACAUUAAAUUUUUUGUCUAAAACAAAAAGGUAAUUCAUAUUUCACUUUCUCCUCUACACGUUGAAAUUCCGACUGAAGUCGCUUCGAUACGACUUCGUGCGUGUAAUUAACGUGUUUACCGAAAUUUUAUUAGCUUUACUCGCACGACUAUUAGUACUAAUCAAUGCACUUUGACGCUCGCAACAUGUAACAUUACGAUAUUAUGAAUACAUAAGUUCGCGAUAACAAACUCGUUACUUUCUCGUUUUCGCGAAACUAUUUCGGUCAAACUUACCAACGGAACAAACAACAGUUCCGACGUACGAGCGUAUAUUUUUUAUGCGAGCGUAUGUUUGUUUUAUAGUUAACGGUAGAUUACGAUGACAAGUGAUCGUCUUUUAAGGCACAAGGUAAUUAUCUGCGACCUCGCGAAAUUAUCUUCGCAGAUAAAGCCACGCUAAUUAUCAUCAGCUGCAAUACUUUGGUAAAACUACUGUACGAGACACAUAUAUCUCUCUAGCCCUUCGUCUAUAAAUUAAUAUUCACAACGCCGCUCUUUACGCCGACCUUACUUUGCUCUCCAACCAUAACCGAUGAGAAUGAUUUAUACCUGUACAAACGCCUCUUAAUCACGUAUAACUCAUUAUCUGAUGAAUUAUCGAAGUAAGAUAUAUUUAUCAAAGUACAUACAAAGUGCAAAUAGCGCAAGAAUUAUGUUAUUUAAUAUCAGCAAGAAUUAUGUUAUUUAAUAUCAUAUUCUAGGAGUCGAUAUCAAUUAAAAUAGAUAUCUGCUUAAAUCAAUAACUUUAAAUGAGAAAUGAAAAAUGAGAAGAAAAAUAGUACAAGCUAUAUAUAAACAGCUUCUCUCAGUAUGCGACUAAAGUACGAGAAUAUGGUUAGUAAGAGUUAAUUGUGGUUAUUAGUGCAAAUGUUUAAAUUGUGAGGAGAUAAUAAUUUCAACAAUGUAAUAACGCACUCACCGAGUAUUUUUCCGGGCUUAUCACUUAUACAUAAAAAAAUAUUUUAUUGCAAACGAUUAUUCAGUUUGUUCUUUUUUCUUUCCUUCCUUUUUUAAAUAAUAAUUAUUUUCAGUAAAUAAUAUUUGUUUGAUAGUAUAUCUUAAAAUAUACUCGUCAAAAAUUUUAGAAAAGCUAUUAUAUAUUCAGAAGAAUUCAUUUUCUUUAUAAGAAUAUUAUAAAAUUUUGUGAAACCAAAAAAUUAUGGUUUCACUUCAUAUAUAGUAAGCAAACCAAAUUUUUAUUUUAAUUUCACUUUUUUUAUUGAAUUAUUAAGCUUAUUAAGAUUUAGAACGAAUUUUAAAUAAAUUUGAUCCUUAUGACGAAUUUAGGUUAGAUUUACAAAUAUAUAAAUAUGAAAUACUUCAAAUAAGUAACAUUUACUUAAAUGUAGUAUGUAUUUUUCUGUGUGUAGGCAAUGAAUUUACCUUCCAUGUUAAACGGACUCCAUUUCAACUAUUUAUAAUUAUGCAUUUUCCCUAAAUGUCGAAAAGAUAGUGUUAGUCAAUCGACAACGCGAUCUUAGACCAAACUAACGCUUUCACAUUUUCUAAUAUUGAACCAUACAGAAAUUAUCACCGAAAUUAAAGGAAGACAUCCAGUAGUUGGCCAUAUGUCUCUCAGAUAGCAGGGAGAAUUCAUGUUUAUGUCGUCAAUUCUGGGUUCUUUUCAGAUGCAAAAAGAAUUCUUUUUAUAAAAAUUCUUUUUGUAUCUGAAACGGGAUUGGUAACACAUAAAAAUGAAAUAAAUUCUAAUGAAUUUUUUUUGAAUUCUCUAUGCUAUCUGGUUUGUUUUCAUUACUUUUGUGCGGAUAUCAUCAAAUAGUAAAGAAUAUGGGAAUUGAAAAGAAAAUAACUAAUAAUAAAUAACUGAUAUUAAUUGAUAAUAAAUAAAUAAUUAAUAAAUUCUGAUUCUCCCUCUCACACACAUCUAAAUACUUGAUAAGAUUCAAGCAAGAGUAUCGAAAAUAUAAACAUAAUGAAUGUCGGUUACUGCACAUUUUUCCCUACUAUAUACUUAUUUAAAAAUGUUACUGUACGUUUGACUUUUUCCUAUAAAAUUAUUGUAAUUACUUAAACAUCUUUUUAUAUCGUAUAUUCUGUAGACUAACAUCUACUAUUUCUAUAUACUAUUUCUAUCUUCUAUUACUAUCUACUAUUUCUAUAUACUGAGCAACAAAGUGGUUAAGUUAAUGAAAUUUUACUUGAACAAAUUCUGUUCAUUCAAGCAAACAUUUAAUCUCUUGAACAAAUUAUAUUGUUGCUGCGACGAGAGGGGGAGAGGGAGAGAGAGAGAGAGAGGAGUUAUCAAUUAAUUAAAUUGUCGUGAAUUAGUCAGUAAUUUUAUCAGCGCAAUUUAUUGUUACUCUAAUGCGUAAUUUGUUUAAUAGACACAAUAUUUCUUUGAAGGCGGGUGAUCACAGAUUUAGUAUAUCAAGCGACACGGUAGUGUCGUUGCGAAGCCAAGUGCAAGCGCGAAGCAACGCGGCCUACCGUGUAUAAUUACGCACCGGCUUUAGUUGAAUGUAGAUUAAAUUCUUAUUUCGGCUAUAACGGUUGAAUUGACGAAGUCAAUUCUUGAGGAACUUAAUUGAUUCCUUGGGUUUACAUUACAUAAUAAAACUGUCUUUACUUUUGCUCUACGUGCUCCAGAAGUUGAGCUAUCUUAGCUCAAAGUCUGAAAUAAUAUGUAUUAAUACAGUCCAGCUUUAUAAAAAAUAUUGUGAAAUGAAAAUAAUAUAAUUUUAACGUAAUUUUUACUAAAAUAUGUUCUCCGUGUAAUUGUUACGCAUUUAAGAAUUGAUAAAUUAAAAGUUGAACUCUAGAAAAAAAUUCUAUUAGUACGUCGUCGUCAGUGAUGCGUGAAGCGCGCGAUUAGACAGAAUUAAUUGCCGCGGAAAGAUUCGCGUGACAAUUUUCCAUAUCGCGGAAACGUAUCCCGUUCACUUCGGUCUUCCACUUCCAUUGUUAUCUCACUCCGUCUUCCUGCCCCUCUUCCUCCCGUUCAUUCGCCGCGCCCGUCAUUCCGCUUCCUGUGCCGUUUGUGGACAACGAGAGAACCCCCAAGAGAUUUUUGCUACAGUAUUGCUCGGUGCUGCCUCGCGUUUUUCUAGCUUAAACACCGGAUGUGUGUACCGACGAUGGUUUUGAAGCUACAAAAGCCCAACGUCUUAUUCUCGACCAGUUCACUCGUCGAUCGUCAGCUGAUCUGUGAAGGUAGUUUCGAGUGGCGCGUCCGUAUCUCUUGUCCGACAGACCUCGCCGAGACCGUUGUUACGUGUCUCGUCGUAUUGUCAAAAAGGUCGACCGGCUGGAUUAUGGGUGCGCGCUGCUGAUCACUGUGAAUUAAUAUAGUGGAAGAUAUAUAUAUCCGAAUAUAUAUAUGUAUAUGUCAGUCGGAGCGAGCGAAUCGAUGAAGAUGUCUGUGUCUGCGUUUUCAACGUCUACGACCUUUUCAUGAAGUGAACGAACAGACGACAAUGUUGAUCAAUAAUGUGGACUACGAGAAAAUAAAGGGCUGCGCGUCAGGCGGCAGCUCGCAAUGUUCUUACGUACAGUCUGAGAAGCGGCGCGAAAGAUCUCAAGGAGGACUGCGGAGCAGAAUUUACUCCAAAAUUCCGUUAAUCGCGCCUCACAAGAAUCUCCCAGAGAAUAUGUCUCGAG